RNAcentral lists this ribosomal RNA (419 nucleotides) under uncultured bacterium. RNAcentral describes it as "bacterial SSU rRNA". It matches the Rfam family "Bacterial small subunit ribosomal RNA", at positions 354 to 774 of the family's 1533-position model. The record is from RNAcentral.
GGGGAGAAUUGUUCCGCAACGGGGCGAGAGGCGUGACAGAAGCAACUACCGGGUGAGAGAAGGAAGGCUCUUGGGUUGUAAACGCUCUUUUCUCAGGGAAGAAAAAAAAUGACGGUACCUGAGGAAUAAGCAUCGGCUAACUUACGUGCCAGCAGCCGCGGGUAAUACGGAGGAUGCAAGCCGUUAUAUCGGAAUGAUUGGGCGUAAAGGGUCCGCAGGUGGCAUUGUAAGUCUGCUGUUAAAGAGUCACGCUCAACCUGAUCAAGGCGGUGGAAACUACAAAGCUAGAGUGUGGUCAGGGGCAGAAGGAAUUCCUGGUGUAGCGGUGAAAUGCGUAGAUAUCAGGAAGAACACCGGUGGCGAAGGCGUUCCCCUAGGCCAAGACUGACACUGAGGGACGAAAGCUAGGGGAGCGAACG